This 543-nucleotide ribosomal RNA is filed under the name uncultured bacterium. RNAcentral describes it as "bacterial SSU rRNA". It matches the Rfam family "Bacterial small subunit ribosomal RNA", at positions 777 to 1319 of the family's 1533-position model. The record is from RNAcentral.
AAUAGAUACCCUGGUAGUCCACGCCGUAAACGAUGAGUGCUAAGUGUUGGGGGUUUCCGCUCCUCAGUGCUGCAGCUAAAGCAUUAAGCACUCCGCCUGGGGAGUACGGUCGCAAGACUGAAACUCAAAGGAAUUGACGGGGGCCCGCACAAGCGGUGGAGCAUGUGGUUUAAUUCGAAGCAACGCGAAGAACCUUACCAGGUCUUGACAUCCCGGUGACCACUAUGGAGACAUAGUUUCCCCUUCGGGGGCAACGGUGACAGGUGGUGCAUGGUUGUCGUCAGCUCGUGUCGUGAGAUGUUGGGUUAAGUCCCGCAACGAGCGCAACCCUUAUUCUUAGUUGCCAUCAUUCAGUUGGGCACUCUAAGGAGACUGCCGGUGAUAAACCGGAGGAAGGUGGGGAUGACGUCAAAUCAUCAUGCCCCUUAUGACCUGGGCUACACACGUGCUACAAUGGACGGUACAAACGGUUGCCAACCCGCGAGGGGGAGCUAAUCCGAUAAAACCGUUCUCAGUUCGGAUUGUAGGCUGCAACUCGCCUAC